AGUGAACGCUGGCGGUAGGCCUAACACAUGCAAGUCGAACGGCAGCACAGUAAGAGCUUGCUCUUACGGGUGGCGAGUGGCGGACGGGUGAGGAAUACAUCGGAAUCUACUUUUUCGUGGGGGAUAACGUAGGGAAACUUACGCUAUACCGCAUACGACCUACGGGUGAAAGCAGGGGAUCUUCGGACCUUGCGCGAUUGAAUGAGCCGAUGUCGGAUUAGCUAGUUGGCGGGGUAAAGGCCCACCAAGGCGACGAUCCGCAGCUGGUCUGAGAGGAUGAUCAGCCACACUGGAACUGAGACACGGUCCAGACUCCUACGGGAGGCAGCAGUGGGGAAUAUUGGACAAUGGGCGCAAGCCUGAUCCAGCCAUACCGCGUGGGUGAAGAAGGCCUUCGGGUUGUAAAGCCCUUUUGUUGGGAAAGAAAAGCAGCAGGUUAAUACCCCGCUGUUCUGACGGUACCCAAAGAAUAAGCACCGGCUAACUUCGUG
RNAcentral lists this ribosomal RNA (491 nucleotides) under uncultured bacterium. Its description in RNAcentral is "partial 16S ribosomal RNA". It matches the Rfam family "Bacterial small subunit ribosomal RNA", at positions 29 to 507 of the family's 1533-position model. The record is from RNAcentral.